GUACUUACUGGCAGGGGAGACACCAUGAUCAGGCAGGUGGUUUUCCCAGGACAUUGUUCAACCACUGCUCUCCAGGUGUGCUGAGCCCUGUAAUUUCCCCAAACAUAGGAAACUCAGCUGCGUAAUUUAUGGUAGUGGGGCAUUGCGUUUGUGCUAAACUACC
Small nuclear RNA from Gallus gallus (chicken), 163 nucleotides. Its record names the gene U1. It matches the Rfam family "U1 spliceosomal RNA". From Rfam's summary of the family: U1 is a small nuclear RNA (snRNA) component of the spliceosome (involved in pre-mRNA splicing). Its 5' end forms complementary base pairs with the 5' splice junction, thus defining the 5' donor site of an intron. There are significant differences in sequence and secondary structure between metazoan and yeast U1 snRNAs, the latter being much longer (568 nucleotides as compared to 164 nucleotides in human). Lineage: Eukaryota; Metazoa; Chordata; Aves; Galliformes; Phasianidae. The record is from Ensembl.